Molecule: transfer RNA, 68 nt
Filed under: Encyrtus eulecaniumiae
Lineage: Eukaryota; Metazoa; Arthropoda; Insecta; Hymenoptera; Encyrtidae
Description: tRNA-Ile
Source: RNAcentral
AAUGAUAUGCCUGAUUAAAAGGGUUAUUUUGAUAGAAUAAUACAUAUAAAGUUUCUUUAUUUUCAUUA